RNAcentral lists this long non-coding RNA (7475 nucleotides) under Ananas comosus (pineapple). Its description in RNAcentral is "long non-coding RNA (ACOM_LNC015056)". The record is from RNAcentral. Lineage: Eukaryota; Viridiplantae; Streptophyta; Magnoliopsida; Poales; Bromeliaceae.
AUAAAAUAUUUUUUUAUGCCAAAAAUACCCUUCCGCCCUCUUCUCUGUUGCUUCGCCUCCCUCCGGCUCGCCGUCUCGCUGCCGCCUCGCCUCCUCCACUGCCUCGCCCUUGCCCUCGCCCUCCCCCACAUCCUCUUCGCCCUCCUUCGCUGCCUCGCCUUUACCCUCGUUGCUCUUGCCAACCUCUCUAUCAGCGCCCACCUCGAUUUCCUCCCUACUAUCACCGAAAUCGAGGGGCGGCGAAGGUGCAGGAAGAGAAGGGGAGCAGGUAGAGAAGAAAAUGGAGAGAAAUCGCUGCCGAUCGAGGUGUGAAUCGCGGCCGAUCGAGGCGGCGGUCGAGAAAGAUAAGGGAGGAGACGAAAAUGGUGAGGGGCAAAAUGGUCAUUUUACACAUCGUACCCCCCCCUCCCCUUGUGAACAUUUUUCAUUUUACAAGGGGGCAAAGUGUAGGUUUUUAAAUGACAGGGGGAAAAGUGAAAAAUUGGGUUAUGACAGGGGGAUUUUAUGUAAUUUAGCCUUUUUAAAAUAAUAUAUUUUGUUUAUUGAUUUUUAGUGAAUGAAUGCAAUCUUUAGUGAAUGGAUGCAACCCUUAGUGAAUGAAUGCAACCCUUAGUGAGUGGAUGCAACUCUAAUCAAAGGGUGUGAUUCUUAGAGUGAAAGGAUGUGACUUUUAGUGAAAGGAUAUGACAUGAAAAGACACAUCUUUAUAGUGUGUCUCUUCGAGUAUAUGUCCGUUGGAAUUAAUUCUUACAUUCAUUGAACUUAACUCAUUAAACUUAUUGGUAGUUAUGAUCAAAUGAAAAGUUACAAUUGAAGGGUCACUUCAUGAAACACCCAUUCAUGAAUAGUCACUUCAUGAAGCACCCGUUCGUGGUCUAUAUAAGUCCACAACAUUGGUUGUAGAAAUAUAAGACGAAACAGUUAAAGAGUUUAAGUCUCCAUUCAUAAUAAUUCCAUUCUUGUUUUCUUAUUUUGUUUGACAAUUUAAUCGAGUGAGUGCUCAAAGACUCGACUUUGUGUGUGCAAACGUAGUUGAGGUUUAUGCUCCAUUGUAUCCUAGAAGGCUAACCCAAUGCGCACUAAAUUAUUUGAACUGUGGGGACGGAUUAAGUCUUAAGGAAAGUGGCAUUACUACACGCCUUGAAACCUUUUUCAUCUUUCUACUUUAUAUCUUUUUCACUAUCUGCUCAAACAGUCUUGGAUCCGUAGUGACUGUGGGGGUGCGCUGUGCUGAAUCNNNNNNNNNNNNNNNNNNNNNNNNNAAUUUUUUGCAUCAAAAAGUAAGGGAAAAUGAAGCUGCAGGGACUGAAAUAAAACUGCAGGGACUGAAAUGAAACUGCCCGUAGGGACUGUUUCGUAAAUACAGGGACCAAAGUGUAAACGGGUCAUAAUAUUUUCGUUAUAACUCCGAUUUGCAAAAUUUUUGUGGCUACAGAUUUCUAACGAAAAAUUACACAUUAUUAUCCAUAAUUUACCUCCUUCUUUAGUUGAGAAUCAAAUUCUUAAUCUAAAACCAAAAGAAGGCAUAUGGAUUCAACUGGAAAACAAAAAUACCUGCGGUGGCGAAGGUGUUGGAACCAAUUCAUCAUCUGAAGACACAUCAUUCUCAAUAGAUCCACUUCUGCCGAUUUGUGAUUCUGUGAAAAAAAAAAAAAAAACAAAGGAUGAGUGUGGCAACAUCAUGUGAAAUUAAUUAUAAGCAGAAUACGAUAAAGAUCACCUAUCAUUGAAGACAUAGUAAGAGGAAGCUUCCCAUGAGCUACUUUAAUUGAAGCAUCCAAUGGUAGAUUUUUUGGGCUUCUUAAAGGUUCCACAUUGCAUAUCUAUGUAAAAAUAUAAAUACAUAUAUAUAGUUAAUACAUGGAAAGAGAGGAUGUUAGAAUAAAUCAACAACAUUCGGAUCAUUCGAAUUCUAUGUCGCACCUUUGACCUUGUUGUAGAAUCUUGCAAAUGCAUUUCACCUCCGGUAGGUGAGUCCAUAAUCUAAAGGGAAUAGACAGGGAAUAGACGAGAUUGAGAAUUUUCCACCUUGAGGACAAGGUGGCUUUUGACGGCUGAGGAAUGAUACGUUUUUAGAUUAGAAUUUUCUAAUUAUGGAAAUAAAUAUUACUAUAUUAGGAUAUUUUAGUUAUUUCUUAACUUAUAUAAAAAUGUUUCUUCUAGAGUUUGAAAUAAUAAGAAGAAAUUGGCCAUCUCGUUCUAUCUUUUCUCUCAUUCUCUUCAUCCUUUUCUAUCUCUAUCUCUCUAUUAUCUCUCUCUUUCGGAGGUUCUAUCCUCUCAAAGUGACUGUUUACCUCUAUCGAUACGGUAGGAUCGUAUCACAAAACUUGUAAUACCAUCAAACAUAUGUUGGUCAAUCAAAAGUCCAGGUAAAUGAACUAACAACAAUUGUGCGUAGCACCGUCAAAAAGAAACAAACUUUUAUUAGCCUCUUUACGUCUCCACAAAAAUAAAUGACACAAUAUUACAACAGUGAAGCUCAAAUUUGACAUACUAAUAUUAGCUGAAAGGACAUCAAAGUCCACUUUUAGAUUUACAAAAAUAAAGACAUGCAGCAACUUUUCAUUCUGCUAUUUCAUUCUUGCUAAUAAAGACCGCGCAACUCAUACAACUGGAAUAAGCACACCAGAAUUACCAGACAUGGAAUGAUUCAGUCGCCAUAAUUCAUGCAAAUUUGCAGAUACAUAAUCUCAGCUAAAAAUAAAAUCGAAGAGCAUUAUAUGCUCCUCCCCUAAAUAUCUAUACAUGAUCUCUCUAAUCAACAAGAAAUACUUGAAUAGCCACAAUAAAAGGUGUGGUUCUUGUGUUCUUUCACAAAUGAUACAACAAAAUACCGCGACAACGGUUGUUCAGAGAAAAGGUUCCACAGAUUAGUUCACUGUUCAGUGGUUAUUAAUCAUUUGGAAAAAGCAUGCCCAGGCAGCAGUCAUAUUAGUUCCUGUUCUUUGCGACUAGCCAUUUUAGCAUUAUCGCGAUCAUGCUUGAACACAAAGUACAAAGGACUAUAGAAAAGGCAACACAAACCAAAAGGAAUGACCAUCAUGAUCAAUAAACCCCUCGAGAGUGCAAACGCCCCUUGAGGAGAUCCAUUCACCAGACUCACAAACUUUGAGUCAUAACCAUAGAUCUUCUCAGUUAGCAUUCCCACGGCAGGAGCCGCAAAUGAGGAGAACGAACCCUCAAAAGCUCGGUCGAAGGCGUAGAUCAUGGUGCGAUGCUUUGAGGGGACCACCUCAGCAAACAUUGGGUUGUUGGCACACGUGGCACACCAGCUGAUAGUGAGCCCCAUGAAAAAGAGGGUAGUGGCAAACGCGUACCAGUUGCUCACGGACUGGGGAAUGACGGUUAGUAGGAUCCACGAGAAUGGAAUGCCCAUAAAGGCACUGAACUGUGCGCAGAUGAUGCGGCCCGAGUCUGGAUAGUAUCGUGACAUCUGAUCUGCUAUUAUUCCACCGAGAAGUGAUCCAGUGGCGCAUCCGAUGGCAAAGAGACUGUUAAGAGCAGCUGAGCUUUUGUGAUCAAAACCUAAAGAAGAGAGGGUUUUAUUAUACAGCGUGUAAGUAACCACUAUAUAUGGUACUUUCAAAUACAAUCCAAGAUCUUUGCUAAUUAAUUCUGAGCGUGUAAAAACAUUUCCGACUUGUUCAUUACCAAUCAGUUCAAACCACAUUGUGAAGAAAACUAUGGCGGUCCAUGGCAAGGAUCCGACUAUCCCCUGCAGGACAAUGAUCUGAAAUGUUUGCACUCUCAUCACAGAUCUCAUUGCUAACCAGGAAUCACUCCAGACGGAAGGUGGAGGUAGACUCCCUUUGGUAACCAGAUGGGACCUGAGAGAAAAAAGAUUCCACUGUUGUACUGUAGUAGAGGUUACAAGAACCGCUCACAUUUGUAAGAAACCAAUAAAUUCUAAAUAACUAUAAUAGCAGAUCAUCCUGAAUCUAGUGCUAUGAAAUGCUUAACAUACUCAGCUUCUAGCAAAAUGUAGAUGGCUUAACAAAAGGGUAAGCUCACUUUGUAAAGAUCUUCCAAGGAAAUAACCAAUUCAUUAAUAAUUUAAUGGUUCUGACUACUUUUCACCCUAAGUUUUCAUUUUGUUCAUAAUUAACAACAAAUAGCUAAUUAAGCCGCUAACUUAAGAAAAUAUACAAUUCAAUUAAAUGAACACAAAUCAAAACAAAUGAAUGUUGAGGGGUUGUCAAUAAGAAACACAGAAUAUCAGGGGCCUACUUCAAAUUAUCAACUGUUGGAGUCUCUUCAUUCACAUUUACCUUCUCAUUUUCCCAGCCCUAGAGGAAAAAGGUCAAAAACUCGAAAGCAAGGUUUUAAGUGCCCGUCGGCACGGGUCGUAUCCACCGUGCCGUACCGUGCCAACAAGAUACUGGCACGAUACAGACCCCGUGCCGAUGGCAUAGCUCAAAACCCUCUAUUCUUUAAAUUAGUAAGUAAUUUCCUCAAUAAAGUUCAAAAGAUGUGAUAAAAAGAUAUAAUAAAUAGUUAGAAUAUUUUGUUGCUAAAGAAAAUAAAUAUUUCAUGCUAUUAUGUGUUGGCACACAAGAAUUUUUUUGACCGGCACGCAUCGGCACGGCUCGGCACGCACCGUGCCGGCAAGUUUCCGGCACGACCCCGUGCCACGGCACUUAAAUCCUUGCUCGAAAGUAUGUUGGUAAUGGUUGACAAAGCAGGCUAAUAACAAGCCCAACCUUUGAGAUUCACGUAUAAAUUGAUGUGGAAAUUCUCAAAGUAACUCAACUAAAUGUUGUUUGGCUGUGCUUAUGCUUUCUUGUUUGUUGUCCUCGAGUAUGCAAUUGAAUUUCCCGGCAAAUGGCAAAUCAUUGCAAACUAUAUAAUUGUAGGUUCUACUUGGGGAAAAAAAACAAAAAAUUAGUAACCAUCCGCUUUCGCUUCUUUGGCUCUUAAAAAAAAAAGGUUUGCAAGCUAAUCAACAAUCACAAGCAAGGAUUUAAGUGUCGUGGCACAGGAUCGUGUCGGAAACUUGCCGGUACGGUACGGUAUGGCACAGUACGUGCCGGGCCGUGCCGAUACAUGCCGGUCAUAAAAAAUUCAUAUGUGCCGACAUAUAAAUAUAUAAUAGCAUGAAAUAUUUAUUUUCUUUAGCAACAAAAUAUUCUAACUGUUUAUUAUGUACUUUUUAUCAAAUCUUUUGAACUUUAUUGAGAAAAUUACUUACUAGUUUAAAGAAGAGAGAGUUUUGAGCUAUGCCAUCGGCACAAAGGUUGUAUCGUGCCAAUAUCUUAUUGGCACGAUAGAUACGGCCCGUGCUGAUUGGCAAUUAAAUUCUUGAUCACAAGAAUAGAGAAGCUCAUCAUCAACACAAUCAAUUGUAUAGAAGUUGAGGAGGAGGACACCCAACAACAGGCAAAUUUAUCCAAAAAAAGCCCUAAAAUUGCUUCAAAAGUUAAGCAUACCAAUUUAUAGUACAUCACAUAAAAAAGUUUUCAUUAGGAUGUAUAACCAACAAAACUUCUGAAUAAUGAUGAUAUAAUCUAGCCCCAAAUCAUAGUUGAAAGAUGAAACUUUAAUACGACCAUACAACAUAAAUUUCAUAAACUAGCUUAAUUUUGUUGUUCUAGGAUCUACUUUAGCGAGUAUGUUUCAAAUUAUAAUUUUCUCCAUCACGUGAAUCAAAGACCUCAAUAAUGAUGAUAUUUCAAUUUUCAACUCUCUAUCACAAGAACCAAAGCUGGAACUACUGAAUUACUCACCAAAUCUACCUAACAUUCUUUUACUAUAAGCUAUACAGCCCUCCACUCUUUAUUGUCACGUGGAAAAUUGUAGGGCUGAAUGAUGAUGGAUUCAAAGGAUUCACAUACAUGAUAACAUGGCAAUACCUGAUAAGAUGCAAAUAUGUGAUACUCUUAUACCCAUCAUCCAUUACUGUGCUCCCUGUUUCUUACCACUACAAGUACAAAUUAAACAGAGCAUAUACCUUCUGAUAAGUAUGGCAUCAUACAGUUUCUAGUUCACUCUUUUGUAGAGCUUGGCCUAUUCUAACUGCAAAUGUAACUAUAAAAAUAUCAUUUUCUAUCGGCUUAAGCUUUUGCAGAAAAUGGUUAUUUCAUAUAAUUUAAUAUCGUAUCAGAGCAAGAGGUCCUGAGUUCAAAUCACGCCAGGUUCCUAGCAUAAUUGAUUUCCUCCUAUUUAAUUCAAGUCCACAUCAUAAGCCUAUUAAAAAGUUUCGAGCCCAGACGUGAGAGGGAAUAUUAAAUAUAAAAAUAUAAAAACAUCAUUCUCUAUCGGCUUAAGCUUUUGGAGAAAAUGGUUGUUUCAUAUUCUUUAAUAGUAAUCUACAUCCAAACUCCACCUCACUUAAGUCAAGAGUAAGGCCCAACACCAUAAGGUGUUCUCAUAUAAAUCGAGGUAAAGUGCACUAGCAAUCAGCGAUUAGUAAGAUUUCUUUGAUAGUAGAGUUAACAACCUUUUCUUUUUUUGGGCCCUACACUAAUGAAUUUCUCCGAACAAAAGUAAGAUCAUCAUUUACCUUUUUCACUGAUUUAGCUAUAUAAAAAAAGGAAAAGAACAAGGAAUAACAAUUGUAGAAUAUUUCAGCGAUCUUGCCACCAUAAGACACCAAUAAGAGCCAAAACAACCAAAAAAUCAGAAUUUAUUUAUUGUCUUGACACUUCAAGAAUCUUAUUUUCAGCCUGAAGACAGCCUUGACUAUGUUGGAAGUUAUGCAUAUGGACUAAUCGACAUUUGUAUAGAAUCUCAAAUAGGUUGAAAAGUCCUUUUAUGGUCAUAUUGGUUAAUCUAGCUUCCUAGAAAACACAGCUCUCUUCAAUUGUAUCAAUCAUUCAUGGACAGUAAAGUUAUUUUCCUGCACAGCCACAGAACGCGGGCCUUCGUCUCUCUCUACUACUACAAAUUGAGAUAUCCAAGUUUAGUAUGAUAAGGCUGAAGUUGGUCAUGGGUGAUAGACUUGUUCGGUAAUCAAUUUAUCUUAUUUGAUUAGGCAAAGAUCACUGAAAGCUAGUUGUUUGAUUAUUUUCCGGCAGCUAGAGCAUUUUUAAAACCUACUUAUGUAAGCCAAGGAUAUGGUGUAAUUCAUUGCAUGACUAAGCGUGACGAGAUCCACAAAUAGGACCUUUCUCAAUCCAUUGAAACAAGAAUACUCAUGAUUGAGAAAGUUUAUGUUGAGUCCUCCAAGAUAAUUUUUUAAAUAAGUUUAGAUACAUUUAUCCCUUCAUAGAUUGCAUAUGUGAGGCCUGAAAUCAAGUGAAAUUAUUGUGAUUACUAAAGGAUGAAGGCCUUCGGUUCAUCGUGGGUUCAGAUUUUGAGUGAAGUUUUCAUUUCAUAAACUUUAUCCUAGUAUGUAACCUUGAAGUACCGGAGCCUCUUAGAAAAUAGAUUACAUAACUUCCAAAAUUGAGGCCAAGUUGUUUAAAGCAACACAUUGCCCACUUGUUGGAAAUGUUGGUCAAGAUAAGGGGACCAAAUGCAAGCCAAGAUCUCUUCGA